AAUCAGAAGGUGCGAAAGUCAACAGUCACAGUAUAUAUGUGACAUCAUCUCCCGGAGCUCCAUAGAAACACGAAGCAUUUCUCGGUUUUGACCGUUUUUUACUCAUUUCUCGGGUUUUUUCGAUGUAUCUUGUACUUUGUGUUUGUGGAGGAAUCAUAAUAAAGUUAUUGAGUCCAUAACCACAUUUUUUUUAUAUUCAACACCGUGAUAGAAAUGGGAAGCUGCAGGCGAUGAUUUAUAAGCAAGGUGGCCAUAUUGGAUUAUUGGUUGUGAGGCAGAGGGCACAACUAGCGCAACUGUGCAUUUCACUGGCAUGCGUGGUUUCAAAAAAAAAAAAAACCCUGGCUGUUCAGGCUAGGGAAGGGAAAAAAAAAAAAAAACCCUGGCUUUCCCUAGCUUGAACAGCUAGGGAAAGGGAAAAAAAGCCCUGGCUGUUCAGGCUAGGGAAAGGGGAAAAAAAAAAAAAAAAAAAAAAACCCUGGCUGUUCAGGCUAGGGAAAAAAAAACAAACAAAAAAAAAAACAGUGAAAGUUCCUCUGCCUCUCAACAAUUUUGUCCAUAUCCUGACAAUCAAAUCUCCCUUCUCCAUUUCUCUCCAUUUUUAACUGUUCAAAAAUUCCUCCGCCUCCUGCCGGCUCGACCAAUCAGAUGGCAAGGCAUCUACGCAUGUGCAGACAACAACGGGAAACUCCGUCAAGGCAUCUUUCACGACGGGGACCAGUUUAGGCUGUGGCUGAAGGCGCUGAACCUCAAGUGCCCACCUAAGCGCCCGUAUGUGUGCUCGUUUGAUUUCGUGGACGGGAAGCCGACAGAUGAGUACCCUUACCCCGAGAAAUGGCUCGGCUAUGAUGCUCCAGUAAAGAAGCCCCUGCUCUGAAGAGGUUCUCAGAUAUGGAUGCAUCAGUGAGAGUCAGCGAAGCAGUGGACAACUGCGAGGAGGACCAGAUUGCCAUGCCCACACGCUGCGAUGUGGAAACUCAGUGGGAGGAUCUGCACGUCUCUGACCACAGCUAUGGUUUAAAAGCAUCGCUCCACCUGAAGCCACUGACAUACGAUAUCGGAACACGGUGCGCUGAGCCAGCUGCGUUGUAGAGAUCAAAGAGAUCGUCGUGGACUUCAGGAGAGGCCGACAGCAGCACCUCCCACUGACCAUCAACGGCGCUGCUGUGGAGAGGGUAAGCAGUACCAAGUUCCUGGGACUGCACAUCUCUGAUGACCUCUCCUGGACAAACAACACUGCAUCGCUGGCCAAGAAGGCUCAAAAACGGCUCUACUUCCUCCGUAAACUGAAAAAAGCACAAGUCCCACCCCCCAUCAUGUUCUCCUUUUACAGAGGCACCAUCGAGAGCGUCCUCACUGGCUGCGUCGCUGUGUGAUUUGGCGGCUGUACUGCCUCCUGCCAAAAGACUCUGCAGCGCAUAGUGAACACAGCCAGCAAGAUCAUUGGUGUUCCUCUGCUCAGAUAUUAACUUUAUUAACUCUGUGGAUUAAUAACAGCAUUGAGAUAUUUUUUUACCUAUUUAAAGCUUCAAAGAUAACUCUGCUCAUCUUGCUGUUGUUUAGGUUCUGUGAAAAGGUGUUUUAUGGACCUCAGUCUGUGCAAGAGCGAUGGAUCACACACCUGCAGGAGCACAUCCUGUCUCUGGGCUACAAAGGCAAACCGUCUCUCCCCCAUGGCACCAGUGGCAGCUCCAGCUCUCCACCCAGUUGCUGUCUAGUCUACAAGACCCAUCUGUUAUUCAGACUCUGAAAGAUGUUAUCUUUAUGUCGGUGUUAUGUGUUAUGUUGUCAGACAAGCAAAACUAAUCACUAGGUGUUCCCCUUUUGUCCUGAAGAGGGCAAACAUGAGUCAUGCAAGAAAAGCAGCAGGUUUUUAUUCACUCAGGUAAAAUCCACCAGCAACAAUAGAUCACAAUACUGGUCACUUG
Notolabrus celidotus (New Zealand spotty) is the source of this 1928-nucleotide long non-coding RNA. RefSeq lists it as uncharacterized. The transcript has 3 exons. The record is from RefSeq and is a predicted model, not a curated record. NCBI's taxonomy places the organism in Eukaryota, Metazoa, Chordata, Actinopteri, Labriformes, Labridae.